GGCAGGGGAAUGGAACCGGCCACACGUCGCAGGGCCGAGAGAGGCCCUCCUGGCGGCGUCUGGAGCCAAGCGAAAACUCGGACGGGAAGCUCGGAGAGAACCCCGAGGUGGAGGCGUGGCUGGAGAGCUGGGCGGAGUAGGGGGUGGAGCCCCAGAGCCCGCACGGGGCGCUUCCGAGAGAGGGUGUACACAUUUUGGAGAGCAGAGUCCAUCGCCCGAGGUGGCGGGGUCUCCAGGGUGGCCUAGCACAACCGAUCACCUGCACUCUGGGUGCUUCUUGUUUGUUCAUUCACUCAUUCAACAAAUGUUAUUGAACGCCCAUGAUGGAAGGUAAAAGAGAGCCCUGCAUACUGCUGUGUGACCUGGAGCAAAGACAACCUCUCUGAGCCGCUGCAUCUUUGGCUGGAAAGUGGAGAUAAUUAUACCCCUCGAAGCUGUUGUGAAGGUUUCAUGAGGUACUGGAGUUCAACGAUGAUGAAAACGGCUGUCAAGAAGUCAUAGUCUAGUGGGAGAGUCUGACAAGUUCACAGACUGCCUGAGAUGAGGUAGGGUGUUGUGGAGAAUCAGCACCAGCCCGGGAACUAGCAGAUCUGCAUGCUACCUAUUUACUGUUUGACCUUGGCCAAAUCUCGGGCUUCAAGUUUAUUCAUCUGUGAAGGAGAUGGAGGGAGGAGUAACCCUGAAUAAAGAACAUAUUAGGUCC
Long non-coding RNA from Mustela lutreola (European mink), 703 nucleotides. RefSeq lists it as uncharacterized. The transcript has 2 exons. NCBI's taxonomy places the organism in Eukaryota, Metazoa, Chordata, Mammalia, Carnivora, Mustelidae. The record is from RefSeq and is a predicted model, not a curated record.